GACGAACGCUGGCGGCGUGCUUAACACAUGCAAGUCGAACGCUGAAGCUCAGCUUUUGUUGGGUGGAUGAGUGGCGAACGGGUGAGUAACACGUGAGUAACCUGCCCCCUUCUUUGGGAUAACGCCCGGAAACGGGUGCUAAUACUGGAUAUUCACUGGUCUUCGCAUGGGGGUUGGUGGAAAGGGUUUUUCUGGUGGGGGAUGGGCUCGCGGCCUAUCAGCUUGUUGGUGGGGUGAUGGCCUACCAAGGCUUUGACGGGUAGCCGGCCUGAGAGGGUGACCGGUCACAUUGGGACUGAGAUACGGCCCAGACUCCUACGGGAGGCAGCAGUGGGGAAUAUUGCACAAUGGGCGCAAGCCUGAAGCAGCGACGCCGCGUGAGGGAUGGAGGCCUUCGGGUUGUGAACCUCUUUCGCUCAUGGUCAAGCCGCAACAAUGGUUGUGGUGAGGGUAGUGGGUAAAGAAGCGCCGGCUAACUACGUG
Molecule: ribosomal RNA, 483 nt
Filed under: uncultured bacterium
Lineage: Bacteria
Description: partial 16S ribosomal RNA
Rfam family: Bacterial small subunit ribosomal RNA
Source: RNAcentral